UGAGGAGGUACCUAAACCAUCUAAUCAGAUUCGUACACUAAUUGAUGCUAUUGGCUAUGUUAUUCCUUGGCCAAUUACACAUGUGAAGCAAGCUAGAAGCUCAUCUUGUACCCGCAACAAGUUGGUACCUGCAGCACAUGGACAAAGCUAGAUGGCGUGGACAAAGCUAGAUAGGAAGCCUAGUAUAAUUGCAAAGUGAAUUAGUUAGAUUCUAGUAGUUACUAAAAUUUUUAAGUGAUAUUUGUAUGAUAUUGCCACUUUGGCUUUGCUUCUUUGUGAACACAAUUGGCAGUUACUGAACAUGUUUGCUAUCGAGUUAGUUAGCUUCUUGAUAUUUUGCCAAGGCCAAAAGCAAUAUUAUUGAGGGUUUAUAA
Long non-coding RNA from Zea mays, 374 nucleotides. RefSeq lists it as uncharacterized. Lineage: Eukaryota; Viridiplantae; Streptophyta; Magnoliopsida; Poales; Poaceae. The record is from RefSeq and is a predicted model, not a curated record. The transcript has 2 exons.